CAUGACGCAUCUAAUGAGCCAGCAUAGUAUUGAGGGUUUUCUCUGAGAUAUCAUAGUGGUUCACCAGAUGUAAAUGCAACAAUACAGUCCACUACAUUUCACAUUGGAUUUUUUUAAUUCCUCUAUUGAGACCUUAUGCCCCAUUCUGCAUAUUUUUCUUCAAAAAAGUAAUGAUGAGGACAUGCUACACAAUUUUAGCACCUAUUCCUUCAUCCACAUGUAUCCUUG
RNAcentral lists this unclassified non-coding RNA (228 nucleotides) under Hevea brasiliensis (rubber tree). Lineage: Eukaryota; Viridiplantae; Streptophyta; Magnoliopsida; Malpighiales; Euphorbiaceae. The record is from RNAcentral.